UCAUACAUUGGUGCAUAAGUGCAUAUUUCUGAAUACACCAGUCUCUGCGGGAACGAACUGAAUUUGAUUCUAUACUACUUGUGACCACGUACGCUUGCGUGAUUUUGUGCGAACAAGCAGCUUUGUCUCAACACCUCUGUCUCUCUCUUUUCACCUCCGUCUCAGCACCUCCCUCUCUCUCGGCUUCUUGAAUUCAGCGUUGCAUCUCAAGGAUUCUGGGUCCCAAAGCUUCAUGCAUCUUCUUGAAAGACUCUGCUUGUAGUUUUGGAUACAUGGUUUCUAAGAAGAAGUAUAUCUAUACCAUUGAUGAUGAUUGCGUUGUUGCCAAAGAUCCAUCUGGAAAAGAGAUCAAUGCACUUGAGCAGCACAUCAAGAAUCUGCUAAGCCCCUCAACUCCAUUGUUAUUUAGUGAAGAUUUAUGAGUAGCUUUUUAUCAAAAACUUUUGCUUCUGGAAAUGUGCUAUUACUUACAAAAAACUCGAAAUAUAGGUGGUGUUUUAAAAUGUUAACGAUAGACCUGUAAUCUUUUUGAGCUUUCACCCAAAGGCAUGUUUGUUACUCAAAAAGAUGCAGAGCACUUACCCUAUAUAUUUCCAUAUAAGUUGCUAUAUUUUGAUUUUCAUUAUCUCCUUUUAUGCAAACAUUAGGUUCAGUUGAUGUCAUCAAUGUUUUUUUGACUUAAAAUUAUUUAUUUCAUAGUAAUGUGCUAGAAGCAGUAUAUAUCCAAUAUCUAAUAGGAAUCCUCCGUAUGGUACUUCAGUUUUCUAAUUUCUGCACUCUGUAUUCUGCAUACAACACUCUGCUUUCUGAAUUCUUUACACUGCAGAUUUGCAUUCUUCAAACUGUAUAAACAAUUCAAAAUACUUUGAAAUGAACACAUACUUGAGUAUCUAAAACAAAUUUAUGUGCUUGCAUUAAAUAUGUGAAUGUUGUUUUCUUGACCCUCAGAUUUAUGGGCUUGUGCGUGGAGUUCAUUUGCUGGCCUGUAGUUAGAAGAGCAACAAGAACAACUCAAAGGUAUAUACGGAAGGUCCCGCAAUGAGGUUAAUAUGCAUAUUCAAUAUUGUUGAAGUACUUUUGAAGAGUUGGAAUAAAAAAAGACAGAGUUUAGAUAUAUUGUUGAGGAACAAAGUUUUGUUAAUUUUUAUAACUUUUGUAACUAUUAGAUGCCAAUGAAUGUAAAGUAGUUACUUUAUUUAAGUUUUUGAAUUAUGUAGUUAUUGAUCUAUGAUGUUUGGGUGUUGGUUUAGUAUGUUUGGAUUAUGGUGUAAUUAGAAUGGUAUAUUGGAAUGAAAAUUUUAUUUUAUUACUUAAUUUAUAUGUGGCAAAAGAAAUUUUGUAGUGGGUACAAAUGUAUUUUCAACCAAAAUGGUCCCACAUAGCAAGGUGGUCCGUGGUGGGACCCAUUAUUUUUAAAAAAGAAAAUUACUCCAAGGUAACAUAAUUUUUUGUUGGACCAGGAGAAUAAAAUGUUGGCUUAAAUAGUUUUCGCUAACAUAUUUCUUAUGUUAUUUUAGACAAACUAAAUGUUGCCUUAGACCCCCUAGGGCAACAUCGAAAAUCCUAUCACAAAAUAAUGUUGCCUUAGCCCUUUUAUGGGCCUUUAACAACAUAUAAACCCCCUGCUGCAACAGAAAUUUUAUGUUGCAGAAGGCCUUUUAUGACGUAGUGUAUAUUCAAGAGGAUCAUGGUUUUUAAAAUUCUGAUGGAUUGUUCGGUGGGGACUUAUUUCGCUACGAAGUGUGAAUUGUUCUUUCGAUAUUAAAGUUCACAUGCAGGUUGGAUAAUUUGAAACGGCUCAACUUGUGGAGUAGGCUGUUGGAAAGCAAUAAGAUUAUUGAGCGACCGAACACGAGAGUAAGGUGGAAGUGGGCUGCCUAGUGACAAAUAAUUUUACAGCGUGUGUUUAACUUUGUCCUCGUAUUAUCCUAAUAAACCCACUCAAAUCCGCAUCUUUCUGUUACCAUGUGUACAAUAAAGAGUUAAGUGUACCGGUGAUAGUUUCGAAUUUUCUGGCCAAUUUUGUCCAUAGCCAGUAUCUGUCACGUAGAUAGUUAUGGUGCCGCUCCUCUUAUCUCAAUUUAUGUGAUUAGGUUUUAUGAACACCAGACUAAUGAUGAAUUUUAUAUGAUAGGUUAAUUGUGAUGUUGC
This is a long non-coding RNA of Daucus carota subsp. sativus, 2151 nucleotides long. RefSeq lists it as uncharacterized. The transcript has 5 exons. The record is from RefSeq and is a predicted model, not a curated record. Lineage: Eukaryota; Viridiplantae; Streptophyta; Magnoliopsida; Apiales; Apiaceae.